UACGGAGGGUGCAAGCGUUGUUCGGAAUCAUUGGGCGUAAAGGGCGCGUAGGCGGGACGUUAAGUCCGAUGUGAAAUCCCUCGGCUCAACUGAGGACGUGCAUCGGAUACUGGCGACCUUGAGUCCUGGAGAGGGUAGCGGAAUUCCCAGUGUAGAGGUGAAAUUCGUAGAUAUUGGGAGGAACACCGGUGGCGAAGGCGGGUCUCUGGGCCGAAACUGACGCUGAGGAGCGAAAGCGUGGGGAGCAAACAGG
This 253-nucleotide ribosomal RNA is filed under the name uncultured bacterium. RNAcentral's name for it is "partial 16S ribosomal RNA". It matches the Rfam family "Bacterial small subunit ribosomal RNA", at positions 524 to 776 of the family's 1533-position model. The record is from RNAcentral.